RNAcentral lists this ribosomal RNA (373 nucleotides) under uncultured bacterium. RNAcentral describes it as "bacterial SSU rRNA". It matches the Rfam family "Bacterial small subunit ribosomal RNA", at positions 524 to 898 of the family's 1533-position model. The record is from RNAcentral.
UACGUAGGGGGCAAGCGUUAUCCGGAAUUAUUGGGCGUAAAGGGUGCGUAGGUGGUUUCGUAAGCGCGGGGUGAAAGGCAAUAGCUCAACUAUUGUAAGCCUUGCGAACUGUAAGACUUGAGUGCAGGAGAGGAAAGCGGAAUUCCUAGUGUAGCGGUGAAAUGCGUAGAUAUUAGGAGGAACACCAGUGGCGAAGGCGGCUUUCUGGACUGUAACUGACACUGAGGCACGAAAGCGUGGGGAGCAAACAGGAUGAGAUACCCUGGUAGUCCACGCCGUAAACGAUGAGCACUAGGUGUCGGGGCCGCAAGGUCUCGGUGCCGCAGUUAACGCAUUAAGUGCUCCGCCUGGGGAGUACGCACGCAAGUGUGAA